Molecule: long non-coding RNA, 252 nt
Filed under: Lathyrus oleraceus (garden pea)
Lineage: Eukaryota; Viridiplantae; Streptophyta; Magnoliopsida; Fabales; Fabaceae
Description: Pisum sativum (pea) long non-coding RNA (PSAT_LNC026120)
Source: RNAcentral
AUCCCUUUUGAAAAUUUCCAGAUUGUCAGGAGUGGAUCUUUCAACCAUCUCGAGAAGGGAAUCCAAGUUGACUUCAGGAAACUUGUAAGAAACAUGUCCACCUCUACCAGUAUCCAUCCUUAGAAAUGACUUAAAUAACGAGAAUCAAGAAUUAAAAACACUUGGAAAUACAAAGACAUGUGUGUUAGGAGAAUGAACAUAACAACGUUCAUGAAUGCAAAUGCAGUUUCCAUAUUAAUAGAUAGUUGUUGU